RNAcentral lists this long non-coding RNA (205 nucleotides) under Manihot esculenta (cassava). Its description in RNAcentral is "long non-coding RNA (MESC_LNC009847)". The record is from RNAcentral. Lineage: Eukaryota; Viridiplantae; Streptophyta; Magnoliopsida; Malpighiales; Euphorbiaceae.
GGAAAAUGCUAUAAUGUUAUGUAAUGUAAAGAAUUGUAUUGAGGAUAGAAUUGUGCUUGGCCCUAGUGUAUGGUUAAUCCCUUUUGGGUACAUGACCUUUUUAAUGAAAUAUUUUAAUGAUGUUUUUAUGUUAAACCAAGCUUAAUGUAUGAUAUGUUACCCCAUUGGAGCAUUUGAUGAGGGCUCCAGUGUGGGGUUUUAUGUU